Molecule: long non-coding RNA, 718 nt
Organism: Physella acuta
Lineage: Eukaryota; Metazoa; Mollusca; Gastropoda; Physidae
Source: RefSeq, a predicted model, not a curated record
UCCUUUCAGACAAGUCCAAUAGAAAUUAUAAAACGUCCAGGUGGUGAAAAGAUUGACAUUCAGGGGUACACAACUGCAGAAAACCCAAAUUUUUCUAUAGACAUUCGAUGCCCACCCGCAGGUACUGGAGAAAUUGCCUCUCACCUAAACGUGCAAAUGCAUUACGACAGCCAAACACGAGGCGCGUCAUAUACUCGGCGAUUUGGUUUUGUUAUGUACGGCAAAUUUGACUUUCACCAGCAAAUUGUUAUAGCAAUUCAAACAAGUUCAGGUUAUACUAAGGUUGAUGCAAUCCUGGCAGCAGGUUCGACCGAAUUACCAGUCUCUGAUUGUUAUGACUAUUUGGAAUUUUACGGAGACCUAAAAGUAGAAAAAAUCGUGAUGUCAUGAGAGGAUCAAACAGCACAUCAAUUGUGUUUUAUGUUUUUGAAUAUUGUGAUGUUGUUAAGAAAGCAACACAUCAAUAAAUAUUGGGUAUUUAAUAAUGUAUUUCACACACAUGCAUAUAUACAAACACAUUAAACAAACAGUGCAUACACAUACACACAUGCCAUGCACAUUUACAAAAAAAGUUAAAGUUUUGUUUGUUGUUACGUACAAACACUAAUAAUUUUUUUUUAAACGUCACUUAAAAACACAUUUUCGCACACAUACCCUUUUACACAUAUAAAAAGACAAACAUAAAUAUUUUUAGUUUGGGAAGGGUCUUGAACUUAAU